GACGAACGCUGGCGGCGUGCUCAACACAUGCAAGUCGAGCGGUAAGGCUCCUUCGGGAGUACACGAGCGGCGAACGGGUGAGUAACACGUGAGCAAUCUGCCCUUCACAUCGGAAUAACUUCGGGAAACCGAAGCUAAUACCGAAUACGACCAUCGGAGGCAUCUCCUGAUGGUGGAAAGCUCCGGCGGUGGAGGAUGAGCUCGCGGCCUAUCAGCUUGUUGGUGGGGAACGGCCCACCAAGGCGACGACGGGUAGCCGGCCUGAGAGGGUGACCGGCCACACCGGGGAC
Molecule: ribosomal RNA, 290 nt
Filed under: uncultured bacterium
Lineage: Bacteria
Description: partial 16S ribosomal RNA
Rfam family: Bacterial small subunit ribosomal RNA
Source: RNAcentral